AGAUUGAACGCUGGCGGCAUGCCUUACACAUGCAAGUCGAACGGCAGCACGGGAGCAAUCCUGGUGGCGAGUGGCGAACGGGUGAGUAAUAUAUCGGAACGUGCCCAGUCGUGGGGGAUAACGCAGCGAAAGCUGUGCUAAUACCGCAUACGAUCUAUGGAUGAAAGCGGGGGAUCGCAAGACCUCGCGCGAUUGGAGCGGCCGAUAUCAGAUUAGCUAGUUGGUGGGGUAAAAGCCUACCAAGGCGACGAUCUGUAGCUGGUCUGAGAGGACGACCAGCCACACUGGAACUGAGACACGGUCCAGACUCCUACGGGAGCAGCAGUGGGGAAUUUGGACAAGU
This 343-nucleotide ribosomal RNA is filed under the name uncultured soil bacterium. Its description in RNAcentral is "bacterial SSU rRNA". It matches the Rfam family "Bacterial small subunit ribosomal RNA", at positions 26 to 373 of the family's 1533-position model. The record is from RNAcentral.